GACGAACGCUGGCGGCGUGCUUAACACAUGCAAGUCGAACGGAAAGGCCCUGCUUUUGUGGGGUGCUCGAGUGGCGAACGGGGGAGUAACACGUGAGUAACCUGCCCUUGACUUUGGGAUAACUUCAGGAAACUGGGGCUAAUACCGGAUAGGAGCUCCUGCUGCAUGGUGGGGGUUGGAAAGUUUCGGCGGUUGGGGAUGGACUCGCGGCUUAUCAGCUUGUUGGUGGGGGAGUGGCUUACCAAGGCUUUGACGGGUAGCCGGCAUGAGAGGGUGACCGGCCACAUUGGGACUGAGAUACGGCACAGACUCCUACGGGAGGCAGCAGUGGGGAAUAUUGCCCAAUGGGCGGAAGCCUGAUGCAGCAACGCCGCGUGCGGGAUGACGGCCUGCGGGUUGUAAACCGCUUUCGCCUGUGACGACGCGUGAGUGACGGUAAUGGGUAAAGAAGCACCGGCUAACUACGUG
Molecule: ribosomal RNA, 468 nt
Filed under: uncultured bacterium
Lineage: Bacteria
Description: partial 16S ribosomal RNA
Rfam family: Bacterial small subunit ribosomal RNA
Source: RNAcentral